GGUGCUGUGGCGUAGUGGGUAAAGCUGCCGCCUGCAGUCCCAGUAUCCCAUAUGGAUGCUGGUUCAAGUCCUGCCUGCUCCA
This 82-nucleotide transfer RNA is filed under the name Oryctolagus cuniculus (rabbit). It matches the Rfam family "tRNA". From Rfam's summary of the family: Transfer RNA (tRNA) molecules are approximately 80 nucleotides in length. Their secondary structure includes four short double-helical elements and three loops (D, anti-codon, and T loops). Lineage: Eukaryota; Metazoa; Chordata; Mammalia; Lagomorpha; Leporidae. The record is from Rfam by way of RNAcentral.